AACCUUAUGGACCUGCGGGCGUAUACCUGCGGAGGGAUCAUUACCGAGUUAGGGUGCUUCUCCAGCGCCCGACCUCCCAACCCUUUGUCUAUGAUACCAUACAGUUGCUUCGGCGUGCCGAGGGGUCAGACCCUCGCCGGACUUCCGGUCGGGAGCGCGCACGCCGAUGGCCUCAUCAAACCAUUGAACCCAAACCAUGUCGUCUGAAAACUUGUGAUUACUAUAAUCAAAAACAAAACU
This 240-nucleotide unclassified non-coding RNA is filed under the name soil metagenome. Its description in RNAcentral is "partial contains 5.8S ribosomal RNA, internal transcribed spacer 2, and large subunit ribosomal RNA". The record is from RNAcentral.